This 76-nucleotide transfer RNA is filed under the name Nocardioides oleivorans. Its description in RNAcentral is "tRNA-Thr". It matches the Rfam family "tRNA". From Rfam's summary of the family: Transfer RNA (tRNA) molecules are approximately 80 nucleotides in length. Their secondary structure includes four short double-helical elements and three loops (D, anti-codon, and T loops). The record is from RNAcentral. Lineage: Bacteria; Bacillati; Actinomycetota; Actinomycetes; Propionibacteriales; Nocardioidaceae.
GCCGGUGUAGCUCAGUUGGUAGAGCGUUUCUCUUGUAAAGAAAAUGUCGCGGGUUCGAUUCCUGUCACCGGCUCGA